This 330-nucleotide ribosomal RNA is filed under the name uncultured bacterium. RNAcentral's name for it is "bacterial SSU rRNA". It matches the Rfam family "Bacterial small subunit ribosomal RNA", at positions 568 to 898 of the family's 1533-position model. The record is from RNAcentral.
UCCGUAGGCGGUGCGGCAAGUCGGAAGUGAAAUCUCUGGGCUUAACCCAGAGGCUGCCUCCGAAACUGCCGUGCUAGAGUGCGAGAGAGGCGAGUGGAAUUGCGGGUGUAGCGGUGAAAUGCGUAGAUAUCCGCAGGAACAUCCGAGGCGAAAGCGGCUCGCUGGAUCGCAACUGACGCUGAGGGACGAAAGCUAGGGGAGCAAACAGGAUUAGAUACCCUGGUAGUCCUAGCCCUAAACCAUCAGGACUUGGGGUUUGCCCUGUACGGGGCAAGUCCCGUAGCUAACGCGUUAAGUCCUGCGCCUGGGGAGUACGGUCGCAAGGCUGAA